Non-coding RNA from Pelobates cultripes (western spadefoot toad), 334 nucleotides. The record is from the annotation of a GenBank genome assembly. Lineage: Eukaryota; Metazoa; Chordata; Amphibia; Anura; Pelobatidae.
AUGACAAAUAUAAGUAGUGAUGCGCCCUAUGGCCCAUGGGAUGGUGUCCUGGGUACCUGAAGCAGUGCUUGCGGUGUGUGCCGCAGAAUUGUUAUCUAAAGGUGGGUGUUUUGAGAGGGUCUGCCCCUUAUGCAAGUGAGAGGCACAUAUGCAAGACUCAAACGUUUCCCCUGCUUGUAUCGUAAGUGCUGGCAUUUGCCCACUGGAUGUGAGUCAUCUGUGAGUUAAAGUGGUACUGCUUCAGUGGCUGAUAAAUGCAGAUGUGCCAGGCUGUGCCAUUGGUUUAGUAACCUGCCCUAAUCGUGGCAUUCAUUUGGGGGGGGGCAGCUAUCAA